This 27-nucleotide non-coding RNA is filed under the name Mus musculus (house mouse). Lineage: Eukaryota; Metazoa; Chordata; Mammalia; Rodentia; Muridae. The record is from RNAcentral.
GUAUGUAUGAGACCUGCAGACCUUACC